This is a long non-coding RNA of Ornithodoros turicata, 243 nucleotides long. RefSeq lists it as uncharacterized. The transcript has 3 exons. The record is from RefSeq and is a predicted model, not a curated record. NCBI's taxonomy places the organism in Eukaryota, Metazoa, Arthropoda, Arachnida, Ixodida, Argasidae.
GUGAAUUUGAAUUGUGCUAUUCAAUAUUAUGUCAUUAAUUUUGAUCAAAUACAGGUAAUACUUCAUCAGGACGUAGUACUCCACGCGAUAGUCAAGCAAGGACACCGUCUGCUAUCCCAGGACCAACUGACAGCAGCCCAUUCACUCAUUUUUCCGAUCAGGAUAAUUCACCAGAUGAAUUGCUACCAUAUGUUACUGACCCACCGAGAUUUGAGGACAGCCAACAAGAACCGCGUUACGGUA